AUGGCGCAGCCCAGCAAGGAGCCGUGCAAGAAGGAGGCGUGCGACAUCCAGGCCUGCCUCUCCAAGAACCUCUUCGAUUCCAAGAAGUGUUUGAAAGUUAUUCAGUCACUACAAUCUUGUUGUGAGCAAUGCGAGUACAAAUCAACACAUUGUGGUUCUUUGUCGGGCUUGCUCAAAAACAUUUCAAAGUGA
This 192-nucleotide ribosomal RNA is filed under the name Triticum aestivum (bread wheat). RNAcentral describes it as "partial small subunit ribosomal RNA". The record is from RNAcentral. Lineage: Eukaryota; Viridiplantae; Streptophyta; Magnoliopsida; Poales; Poaceae.